AUAUAGAGUAACAAACAGGUGUGACAGCAACGGUAAUUAGAGCAGUCACAGGUGCAGAAAAUCAGUUGAUUUUUGCUGAAACAGCACAGGGAACAGAUCGUGACAUCUGCAGGCAGCAACAUAAACACAGAGCCACAGAAGAAGCUGUGGACGUCACAGAAAGUAAUUGUGGUGAACUCCUGUCUUUGCCCAGAGUGGUUGUGACACCUGGUUUGGUUGGGAAUCAUCACUUAGGUUAUUUUUUUCCUCAUUGGGUUCCCAGAUGAGAGCUCAGUGGGAUCUGGAAACACAGCUCUCGGAUUGCUGUCCUGUGAUGACUGGAGAAGUUCGCUUUAUGGCUUGUGCUUGCUCUUUGCCAAGGUGGUGGGGAUAACAUUAGCCACCACUGAAACCUGAUUGACCACCCAAGGUAAAACACAUCCUUUAAAAGACAGCUAGGGUGGUGGAUAAAAGGCUCUGCAGCAUCUGAAGGAAGAGAAAAUCAAGUUGGUCUCAAAGGACCUCUGAACCAGCCUGACCCCUGCCUGAGUUGGACUGCCUGCCUGGACAUCCGACCUGUUCUGCCUCCGGACCCCCGAACCUGCCGGAUUUGGACUGCCGGUCUCCUGUUUAUGAAUCUGGAUCUUCAUCGAACCUCUGCUCCCUUGGUCACGACCCGGACCCCCUUUUUGGAAAAACGUAUUAAGAAAGACCCCUCAAGCACUCCCGCCGGCUCA
This is a long non-coding RNA of Fundulus heteroclitus (mummichog), 716 nucleotides long. RefSeq lists it as uncharacterized. The transcript has 3 exons. The record is from RefSeq and is a predicted model, not a curated record. NCBI's taxonomy places the organism in Eukaryota, Metazoa, Chordata, Actinopteri, Cyprinodontiformes, Fundulidae.